This 463-nucleotide ribosomal RNA is filed under the name uncultured bacterium. Its description in RNAcentral is "partial 16S ribosomal RNA". It matches the Rfam family "Bacterial small subunit ribosomal RNA", at positions 29 to 507 of the family's 1533-position model. The record is from RNAcentral.
ACGAACGCUGGCGGCGUGCCUAACACAUGCAAGUCGAGCGAAUGAAGUUCCUUCGGGAAUGGAUUUAGCGGCGGACGGGUGAGUAACACGUGGGCAACCUGCCUCAUAGAGGGGAAUAGCCUCCCGAAAGGGAGAUUAAUACCGCAUAAGAUUGUAGUACCGCAUGAUACAGCAAUUAAAGGAGCAAUCCGCUAUGAGAUGGGCCCGCGGCGCAUUAGCUAGUUGGUGAGGUAAUGGCUCACCAAGGCGACGAUGCGUAGCCGACCUGAGAGGGUGAUCGGCCACAUUGGGACUGAGACACGGCCCAGACUCCUACGGGAGGCAGCAGUGGGGAAUAUUGCACAAUGGGGGAAACCCUGAUGCAGCAACGCCGCGUGAGUGAUGACGGCCUUCGGGUUGUAAAGCUCUGUCUUCAGGGACGAUAAUGACGGUACCUGAGGAGGAAGCCACGGCUAACUACGUG